This 473-nucleotide ribosomal RNA is filed under the name uncultured bacterium. Its description in RNAcentral is "bacterial SSU rRNA". It matches the Rfam family "Bacterial small subunit ribosomal RNA", at positions 354 to 825 of the family's 1533-position model. The record is from RNAcentral.
GUGGGGAAUAUUGGACAAUGGGCGAAAGCCUGAUCCAGCCAUGCCGCGUGUGUGAAGAAGGUCUUCGGAUUGUAAAGCACUUUAAGUUGGGAGGAAGGGCAGUUACCUAAUACGUAUCUGUUUUGACGUUACCGACAGAAUAAGCACCGGCUAACUCUGUGCCAGCAGCCGCGGUAAUACAGAGGGUGCAAGCGUUAAUCGGAAUUACUGGGCGUAAAGCGCGCGUAGGUGGUUUGUUAAGUUGGAUGUGAAAUCCCCGGGCUCAACCUGGGAACUGCAUUCAAAACUGACAAGCUAGAGUAUGGUAGAGGGUGGUGGAAUUUCCUGUGUAGCGGUGAAAUGCGUAGAUAUAGGAAGGAACACCAGUGGCGAAGGCGACCACCUGGACUGAUACUGACACUGAGGUGCGAAAGCGUGGGGAGCAAACAGGAUUAGAUACCCCAGUAGUCCCUGAGCGGGCUGGCAAGGCGCAU